AGUCCCUGAGAAGAGGAGCUCUUGGGCCAAUCACCUAGUUUCUGCCUGUGUUACAGUGAAGAGAAGCUGCUUAAGAGAAGAUGAAGCCCUUGUCUCUGUUAAUAGAGAUAUUGAUAAUUCUUGGGGUCACAAUUAAAACUAUCAAAGCAGAGGAACAUAAUAAAAGACAAAAGGAAAGAAAUGUCACCACACAGGUAUCAGUGAACGAAAUCAAACAAUAUUUAUCACACAUAUUGGAACAAAGAACAUCUAGUAAUGUAAUCAAUAAAAGAGAAAAUCUCCUGGAGAAAAAGAAGAAUCAACGUAAAAUAAGAAUAAAAGGAAUUCAAAAUAAAGAUAUCUUGAAGAGAAAUAAGAAUCAUUUACAAAAGCAAGCAGAGAAAAAUUUUACAGAUGAAGGAGACCAGCUAUUUAAGAUGGGCAUCAAGGUUCUCCAGCAGUCUAAAAGCCAAAAACAAAAAGAAGAGAUUCUAAUGCCUACCUGGAUGUUUCUCUGUCUGAGGUCCUUCUUGCCUGGACUACUCUGCUCCAGCUUCUGCCCAAGAGCAGCUUAUUUUAGCCUCAGCAUGGAUGGGCUGUACAUAAAGAGCCUACCUACUUUUUGCCAAAGCAGCUGACAUGGGAAACUUGAAAGCUAUGGAGAAAAUGGCUGACGCUUUGCUAUUUGGAAAUUUUGGCGUGCAAAAUAUAACAGCAGCUAUCCAAUUAUAUGAGUCCUUGGCUAAAGAAGGAUCAUGUAAAGCCCAAAACGCAUUAGGAUUUUUGUCUUCUUAUGGAAUAGGAAUGGAAUAUGAUCAAGCUAAGGCACUGAUAUAUUACACCUUUGGAAGUGCUGGAGGAAACAUGAUGUCCCAGAUGAUUUUGGGGUACAGAUAUUUGUCGGGAAUCAAUGUUCUACAGAAUUGUGAAGUUGCCCUAAGUUAUUACAAGAAAGUGGCAGAUUAUAUUGCUGACACAUUUGAAAAAAGUGAAGGUGUUCCAGUGGAAAAAGUGAGACUAACGGAAAGACCUGAAAAUCUGAGUUCUAACAGUGAGAUUUUGGAUUGGGACAUAUACCAAUACUAUAAAUUUUUGGCAGAAAGAGGAGAUGUUCAGAUACAAGUCUCUCUUGGACAAUUACAUCUAAUUGGCAGGAAAGGUCUAGAUCAGGAUUACUACAAAGCAUUACACUACUUCUUAAAGGCAGCAAAGGCCGGGAGUGCAAAUGCCAUGGCAUUUAUAGGAAAGAUGUAUUUAGAGGGGAAUGCUGCCGUGCCGCAAAAUAACGCUACUGCCUUCAAGUACUUUUCCAUGGCAGCCAGUAAGGGCAAUGCAAUCGGCCUUCAUGGGCUUGGUCUUCUUUACUUUCAUGGAAAAGGAGUUCCCCUGAAUUAUGCCGAAGCACUUAAAUACUUUCAGAAAGCUGCGGAAAAAGGGUGGCCCGACGCACAGUUCCAGUUAGGCUUCAUGUACUACUCUGGCUCUGGAAUAUGGAAGGAUUAUAAACUUGCCUUCAAAUAUUUUUACCUGGCAUCUCAGAGUGGGCAGCCCCUUGCCAUUUAUUAUCUGGCCAAGAUGUAUGCAACAGGAACAGGAGUAGUAAGAUCAUGCAGAACUGCUGUGGAGCUUUAUAAAGGUGUCUGUGAACUAGGCCACUGGGCUGAGAAAUUCCUGACAGCUUACUUUGCCUAUAAGGAUGGUGAUAUAGAUUCUUCUCUUGUUCAGUAUGCACUGCUUGCAGAAAUGGGGUAUGAAGUAGCUCAAAGCAAUUCAGCAUUCAUUUUGGAAUCUAAAAAGGCUAACAUUCUUGAAAAAGAGAAGAUGUAUCCAAUGGCGCUUCUCCUAUGGAAUCGAGCUGCCAUUCAAGGCAAUGCAUUUGCUAGAGUAAAAAUUGGAGAUUACCAUUACUAUGGCUAUGGGACUAAGAAAGACUAUCAAACAGCAGCCACACACUACAGCAUUGCAGCCAACAAAUACCACAACGCGCAAGCCAUGUUCAAUCUGGCUUAUAUGUAUGAACACGGCUUAGGCAUCACAAAGGACAUUCACUUGGCCAGAAGAUUGUACGACAUGGCUGCUCAAACGAGUCCAGAUGCCCACAUACCUGUGCUCUUUGCCGUCAUGAAACUGGAAACUACGCAUUUGCUCCGGGAUAUCCUGUUUUUUAAUUUCACAACGAGAUGGAACUGGCUGAAACUGGACAACACCAUUGGACCACACUGGGACUUAUUUGUGAUUGGCCUCAUUGUUCCUGGGCUGAUUUUGUUGCUUAGAAAUCACCAUGGGUAGGAUGCGGAUCACAGGAAAACCUGCUCACGGGAAUCAGUUCACUCCAAGGUAUCCCCACUAAAUAAACAGUUUCCCAUCCAAAUCAAGAGUCCGCUGCAGUUUCCCGCUCAGGGCUGUGAUGGGAAACAGACAAGACUUGGGGACCAUCCUAGAGAAACAACUUCAGACUUCCUGCUUAGUAGAGAAAACCCUUUGCGGGAUGCUGGGAACUGGUCACCUAAGACCUUGUUACCAAUCU
Homo sapiens (human) is the source of this 2506-nucleotide RNA transcript. It is a transcript of the gene named SEL1L2 adaptor subunit of SYVN1 ubiquitin ligase, with no coding region annotated. The record is from RefSeq and is marked validated. The transcript is spliced from 21 exons. NCBI's taxonomy places the organism in Eukaryota, Metazoa, Chordata, Mammalia, Primates, Hominidae.